GAUGAAGAACGCAGCGAAAUGCGAUACGUAAUGUGAAUUGCAGAUUUCAGUGAAUCAUCGAAUCUUUGAACGCACAUUGCGCCCGCCAGUAUUCUGGCGGGCAUGUCUGUUCGAGCGUCAUUUCAACCAUCAAGCGCCUGCGCUUGUGUUGGAGCCCUGCGGCUGCCGCAGGCUCUCAAACCCAGUGGCGGGCUCGUCGUCGUACCGAGUGCAGUAAAUUUACCACGCUCAGGGCACGCGACGGGUGACCGGCCGUAAAACCCCCAUCUUCUCAAGGUUGACCUCGGAUCAGGUAGGAAUACCCGCUGAACUUAAGCAUAUCAAUAAGCGGAGGA
RNAcentral lists this unclassified non-coding RNA (335 nucleotides) under soil metagenome. Its description in RNAcentral is "partial contains 5.8S ribosomal RNA, internal transcribed spacer 2, and large subunit ribosomal RNA". The stretch from base 1 to 120 matches the Rfam family "5.8S ribosomal RNA", at positions 35 to 154 of the family's 154-position model. The record is from RNAcentral.